AUUGAACGCUGGCGGCAGGCUUAACACAUGCAAGUCGAACGAGCGGCGGACGGGUGAGUAAUGUAUGGGGCUCUGCCUGAUGGAGGGGGAUAACUACUGGAAACGGUAGCUAAUACCGCAUACCAUCAGAUGAACCCAUAUGGGAUUAGCUUGUAGGUGAGGUAACGGCUCACCUAGGCGACGAUCCAUAGCUGGUCUGAGAGGAUGAUCAGCCACACUGGGACUGAAGAACGGCCCAAACUCCUGCGGGAGGCAGCAGUGGGGAAUAUUGCCCCAUGGGCGGAAGCCUGAUGCAGCCCUGCCGCGGGUAUGAAGGAGGCCUUCGGGUUGUAAAGGACUUUCAGUCGGGAGGCGUUACCGACAGAAGAAGCACCGGCUAACUCCGUGCCAGCAGCCGCGGUAAUAC
Molecule: ribosomal RNA, 406 nt
Filed under: uncultured bacterium
Lineage: Bacteria
Description: partial 16S ribosomal RNA
Rfam family: Bacterial small subunit ribosomal RNA
Source: RNAcentral